RNAcentral lists this ribosomal RNA (490 nucleotides) under uncultured bacterium. RNAcentral describes it as "partial 16S ribosomal RNA". It matches the Rfam family "Bacterial small subunit ribosomal RNA", at positions 30 to 507 of the family's 1533-position model. The record is from RNAcentral.
AUUGAACGCUGGCGGCAGGCCUAACACAUGCAAGUCGAACGGUAACAGGAAGAAGCUUGCUUCUUUGCUGACGAGUGGCGGAUGGGUGAGUAAUGUCUGGGAAACUGCCUGAUGGAGGGGGAUAACUACUGGAAACGGUAGCUAAUACCGCAUAACGUCGCAAGACCAAAGAGGGGGACCUUCGGGCCUCUUGCCAUCGGAUGUGCCCAGAUGGGAUUAGCUAGUAGGUGGGGUAACGGCUCACCUAGGCGACGAUCCCUAGCUGGUCUGAGAGGAUGACCAGCCAAACUGGAACUGAGACACGGUCCAGACUCCUACGGGAGGCAGCAGUGGGGAAUAUUGCACAAUGGGCGCAAGCCUGAUGCAGCCAUGCCGCGUGUAUGAAGAAGGCCUUCGGGUUGUAAAGUACUUUCAGCGGGGAGGAAGGGAGUAAAGUUAAUACCUUUGCUCAUUGACGUUACCCGCAGAAGAAGCACCGGCUAACUCCGUG